AUACGAAGGGUGCAAGCGUUACUCGGAAUUACUGGGCGUAAAGCGUGCGUAGGUGUUGUUUAAGUCUGUCGUGAAAGCCCUGGGCUCAACCUGGGAAUGGCGAUGGAAACUGGGCGACUAGAGUGUGGCAGAGGGUAGUGGAAUUCCUGGUGUAGCAGUGAAAUGCGUAGAGAUCAGGAGGAACAUCCGUGGCGAAGGCGACUGCCUGGGCCAACACUGACACUGAGGCACGAAAGCGUGGGGAGCAAACAGGAUUAGAUACCCUGGUAGUCCACGCCCUAAACGAUGCGAACUGGAUGUUGGGUGCAAUUUGGCACGCAGUAUCGAAGCUAACGCGUUAAGUUCGCCGCCUGGGGAGUACGGUCGCAAGACUGAAACUCAAAUGAAUUGACGGGG
Molecule: ribosomal RNA, 396 nt
Filed under: uncultured bacterium
Lineage: Bacteria
Description: partial 16S ribosomal RNA
Rfam family: Bacterial small subunit ribosomal RNA
Source: RNAcentral